Molecule: long non-coding RNA, 2939 nt
Organism: Corythoichthys intestinalis (scribbled pipefish)
Lineage: Eukaryota; Metazoa; Chordata; Actinopteri; Syngnathiformes; Syngnathidae
Exons: 3
Source: RefSeq, a predicted model, not a curated record
UGUAAAAUGAGUAGAGUGAAUUUUGGCAGCCUUUGGAGCCUUUUUUUAAAUGGCUAAAGCCUUACAAUCCCUCUCCCAACAAUUAGAAUAAUCGUGGGAAGCAAUGUGGGGAAGAAAGGUAAUAGUUGAUCUUUUUCUUAACACCCUAUGUUAUUUCCCAACGCACAGAAGAUAUAUCAAUUGGUACCACGACGCACAGUCAUGGUUGCACUUCCCACCAUGCAUUUGGGCAGAAGUUAAAUGGCUACAGUAUCAUUUACCGAAAGCUCAACAAAUACACUAGAUGGCAAUAUUUAGUCACAAUUAGGCUCGAGCGUAUGACGUGGCACUCGCGAGGUUUCCGCCGCUAUCGCCAUUGUGGAAGCGAGAAACAUAAACUGAGGCAUUUCAACACAGGUCGCUCUUUAAAAAUGGUUGGAAAUUAUUGUGCGGUAAAGAAUUGCAACAACCGAUCGAAUAGAAAGGAGAAUGUACAGUUCGACGGAACACCAUUGAGUUUCUUCCGGAUCCCUACAUGGAGAAAAGGCGAGGGAAAGCUCAUAUCUGAACUUACCAAACGUCGAAGAAUGGCAUGGGUGGCCUCGAUCAGAAGGAAGGGCAUAACGUUUGAUUCUCCAGUUACACACUGAGUUUGCUCUAUGCACUUCCACUCCGGACUCUGUGCCACGUCAGCACUAUCAGGACCAGGAAUGGGGACCCGUCGUGUCGGGGUCGGAGGAUCAGCUGUCGUUUUCCUCAGCGCCACCGAGGAAGGUUUGGGUGAGACCGGUGGUUUCAGACUCUUCCUGGCCUCCAUCCACUCACAGCUCUCUUGAGUCUUCUCUGACCUCUCAGAUGCCUCCGAUACAGGUCUCCGCCUCAGCACCACGCCGCCGUUCUGCUGCCGGCUGCCUUCACCCGGACUUUUGGAAGAGUCUGUUUGUUUAUUUCUUGUCUGGACAACGCCUUCCGAUGGCUCGGCUACGCGCUGCCUCCGACGUAAGGUGUCAGAGCCGGUCGUCAUGGUGACGACCGUGGGAGUCGCGGGCGCUUCGGGGUCAGUCGAAGGAGGGCGAGGUUUCCUUCGGAGUGUCGCCGAGCCAUCUGAGAUCUCCGUGGCAGAGGAGACGACGGUAGAUCGGGGUCGUGGUUCUGGACGUUGCCGAGGAGCCUCCUCGGGUCCGCUGACGGUCCUGCGUCGAUUCAGGACGUCGUCAUCCUCCGAUCCGAGACCGCCUGAGCCGGCCUGGCGUCGGAGUGUGGGAGGGCUGACCUGGAAAGGAUACGAUCGAAUUUGCAGUGCCAAGACAACGGGCAGAUAAGGGCAGAACAGAUACAGGAUGGUUUCUGACCAUGGAAGCCCAACGCGCGCGUCAUGCAGCUGACUGAGCAAGACUGACGCUGACAAGUAGGUGAUGGACAAGAUAUCUACAAGCCCACGUCUGCACCACCAAAUCCCACAAUCAGCUCUUCUGGACAGUCCAGAACAAAUGGCGGGACAUCUUGUCUUGCCACAAGGAACAUCUGAUACGGAGGAACUCGCGAACGAGAAGUGAACACUUAGCACUCACGUGGCAUUGGGGAUGGCAAAAUCCUUAACUCUCGUUGCCCUGACAACAGUAACGCCCGAAUCCUCCUGUCCAAUCAACAACAAACAAUAAUCCUAAACAACGGCCAAACUAGUGCUGCAACGAUUAAUCGAUUAACUCGAGUAUUCGAUUACAAAAAAAAGAUUUGAAUUAAAUUUUUCUGCUUCAAGUAGUCGUUUAAUUAACGUGGUGUUGUAAUGGUUUGUUUUGAAAGUGUUUGCAUUAAGUUUUAUUGAUUUGGGUGGAUAAACUGCCCUCUAGUCUGCCUCAUUUCACGUGGCUGAAUCUAGCUGCUCCUUGUUAAGAUCAACAUAAGCUAAUUUUUGUUUGAGCUAAUGUUUUUUUUUAAUGCAUUCAUAAAGUACUUUAUAGGUAUAUUUAGCCGUUUUUGUGGGAAUAUGUGUCUGAACCAUUUGUUAAGUGCACUGUAAAAAAAAAAAAAAAUUGUAGUAUUUAAGCCAGUGGACUUUAGCCAAUUCUUCUUUUGUUGUACGUAGACCCUUUUUUUUUUUUAAUACCUUUUAAUACCGUUUGAGGCUCAGCUCAGGUAUUGUUUUUAUGUUCCUUAUCUGAUUACUCGAUUAUUCGAACUAACUAGUUCAUCAAUUAAUCGACGACUAAAAUAAUCGAUAGCUGCAGCCUUAGCCCAAACACACCCUACUUUCGGACCACAGCCCACCUCGCCAGAGCAUUUAAAAGACAGAAUGUUGAACUAAUCGUUGUCAUUUUUCUUGGGAAUCUUUUGUUGACUUGUGAUAUGGUGACCCUGGAUCCAGUUUGCCUCCUCGCCUGGUUCUCUCUGUGCUGUAUGAUUGCUGUCGACUUGGAAUAAAUUGUUAAGUUGUGUUUUCCAGCUUUUAAAAUGGAGUCAGUACAAGGGGUUAAGACUAAGGUGAACGCACGGAGUUUUGCCGGGUUGUCGGGACACCGCCGACCUGGGUCGUUGGAAUUGCGCUAGCGCGAUUCCAGCAGUUCGGCUGGCAUGAUUCUGGCAAUCUGGCUGAAAGGUCAGAUUCCUUCAGUAAGAUGAGAAAUAAAUUCAUGACUAAAUCCCCCAAUUGGCGUACGGACACUAGGAUUAUCUCAUUCACUGCCAUUGACAAGAAUACUUAAUUGAACUUUACAAGUAUACACAUCUGUAUGUAAAAUGUUUACCAGGAAUUUAAGAGGACACCGAGUCACCGUGCUAAAUGCUAAUGCUACCGUGAACGUUAUGCUAAGCGAACGCUAUGCUAAUGCUACAAGUUAGUGUAGUGAGUGAUGAUCACUUAGCACAGACCUUUAAAGGCUAAAGCAACAUGGCAUAUCCAGCCAAUAGAAGAAAGCAAAACCUAUUUCACAAAAUGAACAUGGAAUGGGCACAGGCUUACU